This 1273-nucleotide long non-coding RNA is filed under the name Callithrix jacchus (white-tufted-ear marmoset). RNAcentral's name for it is "lncRNA (ENSCJAG00000079904.1)". The record is from RNAcentral. Lineage: Eukaryota; Metazoa; Chordata; Mammalia; Primates; Cebidae.
AUACCUGGAUGAAAUCAGAGAGUAGAUGAAGAGUCCUAUUUAACCAGGAAUAUAAAUUUGGGAAGAUUUGUAUUGGUGGCCCUGAAGCAGAGAGCUCUGUAUCCCAUUAACAGCAAUGAGUCAUUCAGUCUCCCACAGAUCCAAAUAAAGUUUUACAGAAUACCCUAUGGCAUGCCUUUCAAAAUAUAUGAACACCAUAAAAUAUAUCAUUCAUUUUACCAUAUGAACUGACUCUGUCCCCUUUUCACCAUUUGGGAUAGCAAUCUCACCAUGUGUUUUUGGCUCUUAGGUUAUCAUCAGAUAUAUUGAAGUUCUCUGAGCUUUUCCAUUCUAAGUCCCUAUGGUAUUUUCAGGAGUUUUAUAACUUGGUUGUAAAAAUUCACUCUAAACUGAAACUUGGCAAAUAAUGUAUUAAUCUGGGAAGUUAAUUUCUUUUAUAAAGUCCAGAAUCUGUUUAGGCUCUCUUUUGAGUUCUCAGAGACCUUGGAAAAAUAAAGUGAGCAAUUAAAGGUUUUUUGUGUCUUAAAAAAUGCAAUUACAUUUCUCUAAAAUCCUUUCAACCCUAUUUUUACAGGUGAAUAGCUUAUACUUUGGAUUGAGUUCUGAUAUAUUUUGAAACAGAUUUUUUUUUUCUUUUGGCACAGUGAAAUAGAGUAAUUAAGAAAGGAACUAGGCUGAGCUUACCCUGUUACAUCACUGGAAUAACAACAUAUCUUUAGGGAGUGGAGCCUGUCUAAAUUUACAAAAAGGACUAAGAUGUUAAUAUCAUUAGACAUUCACUAAUCUACAAAUAUAUCAGUGAGAAGUAUUUAAAACACAUGAUGUGCCCUCAAUCUUAGAAGAAUUACUAAGAUGCUAAAACUUCUGUUUGCAGUUGAUUCAUUGAACUUUGGAAAUGACUUUGCUGUCAUAUAGUGCCAGCAAAUGUAACUAGACUUACAUAGUCUCUUUUCAGGUCCUGGAGAAUUCUGUCUCCACCUCCUCUCGCUUUACCCGAAAAUAGCUCCAGGGAUGAGUUAAACAAAUAGUUUGAUUGACCAGAUACAAUCUGCACUAACAACCUUCUCAAUUCAGAGAUGGGCCCAGUGAUAAAAGUUCAACAACAACAAAUGACAAACUGAAGUAACAUUUAAAAUGGAGUGUCACGGCUUUAAAACACUUUCAGGUGUAUUUUACAAAAGGAAUGCAGAAGAGAAUUAGAUUACGAUCUUUGGAGUUUCACAGAAGUGAUGAUUACUAGCUCUGUGGCGUUGGGGAAGCUACUUAAUCUUUG